CUGGGUAUCACACAUAACCCACAUUCUUAGCUGUUUGCAUGUCGGAUUUCAUUUGCAGACCAUAUCCAGUUUUCAAACUGCACUUUCUUUCUUUUUCUGUUACAGAAGUGGAGGCAACUGCGGCCAAAUCCCAGUGCUCCAUGGCUGGUGGAGGGGGACCCUGAUCAGGAAAGAAGCUUUUUCUUGCCUUGCUCUGUUCCCACAGAAGGGUUGGAAGAAGAGGGGGAGAGAGCACAGGAGCACAGCACACCCAGUCAUGUAGGCACACACCAUCCCUUUGUGAUGGGUGUCCUUUUCUGCUGCUCCAUGUGUGCCCAUAGGGCUGGGCAGAGGGCCAGCAGGACUGUGACCACACCAUGUCCACACUGUGAUACCUUCUUCUUACAUUCUCUUGUGCAUGUGUGGCAGCCUGUGCUGCACAGUAAAGCUGGAAGAGAAGGCAAAAUAAGGUUACAUCAAGCACCUGAAACUUCCCAGGGAAUUCACAGCGAGAAGUAUCUAUUUGGAGACAAUAACAACUUGUUCUUCAGUGCAGUUUCAAGGAAUGUCAGGACAGUUUUUCAGCAGAAUGGAGGGUGAGAAUACAUUGGUUGAUCUUCCUGGAAGGAUGGGAG
Molecule: long non-coding RNA, 614 nt
Filed under: Cyanistes caeruleus (blue tit)
Lineage: Eukaryota; Metazoa; Chordata; Aves; Passeriformes; Paridae
Description: lncRNA (ENSCCEG00000014844.1)
Source: RNAcentral